RNAcentral lists this ribosomal RNA (842 nucleotides) under bacterium. Its description in RNAcentral is "bacterial SSU rRNA". It matches the Rfam family "Bacterial small subunit ribosomal RNA", at positions 56 to 878 of the family's 1533-position model. The record is from RNAcentral.
UGCAAGUCGAGCGGACCGACGGGAGCUUGCUCCCUUAGGUCAGCGGCGGACGGGUGAGUAACACGUGGGUAACCUGCCUGUAAGACUGGGAUAACUCCGGGAAACCGGGGCUAAUACCGGAUGCUUGAUUGAACCGCAUGGUUCAAUCAUAAAAGGUGGCUUUUAGCUACCACUUGCAGAUGGACCCGCGGCGCAUUAGCUAGUUGGUGAGGUAACGGCUCACCAAGGCGACGAUGCGUAGCCGACCUGAGAGGGUGAUCGGCCACACUGGGACUGAGACACGGCCCAGACUCCUACGGGAGGCAGCAGUAGGGAAUCUUCCGCAAUGGACGAAAGUCUGACGGAGCAACGCCGCGUGAGUGAUGAAGGUUUUCGGAUCGUAAAACUCUGUUGUUAGGGAAGAACAAGUACCGUUCGAAUAGGGCGGCACCUUGACGGUACCUAACCAGAAAGCCACGGCUAACUACGUGCCAGCAGCCGCGGUAAUACGUAGGUGGCAAGCGUUGUCCGGAAUUAUUGGGCGUAAAGCGCGCGCAGGCGGUUUCUUAAGUCUGAUGUGAAAGCCCCCGGCUCAACCGGGGAGGGUCAUUGGAAACUGGGGAACUUGAGUGCAGAAGAGGAGAGUGGAAUUCCACGUGUAGCGGUGAAAUGCGUAGAGAUGUGGAGGAACACCAGUGGCGAAGGCGACUCUCUGGUCUGUAACUGACGCUGAGGCGCGAAAGCGUGGGGAGCGAACAGGAUUAGAUACCCUGGUAGUCCACGCCGUAAACGAUGAGUGCUAAGUGUUAGAGGGUUUCCGCCCUUUAGUGCUGCAGCAAACGCAUUAAGCACUCCGCCUGGGG